RNAcentral lists this ribosomal RNA (1050 nucleotides) under Halomonas sp. RNAcentral describes it as "bacterial SSU rRNA". It matches the Rfam family "Bacterial small subunit ribosomal RNA", at positions 25 to 1088 of the family's 1533-position model. Lineage: Bacteria; Pseudomonadati; Pseudomonadota; Gammaproteobacteria; Oceanospirillales; Halomonadaceae. The record is from RNAcentral.
GGGAUUGAAGCGCAGCUACCAUGCAGUCGAGCGGUAACAGAUCCAGCUUGCUGGAUGCUGACGAGCGGCGGACGGGUGAGUAAUGCAUAGGAAUCUGCCCGAUAGUGGGGGAUAACCUGGGGAAACCCAGGCUAAUACCGCAUACGUCCUACGGGAGAAAGGGGGCUUCGGCUCCCGCUAUCGGAUGAGCCUAUGUCGGAUUAGCUAGUUGGUGAGGUAACGGCUCACCAAGGCCACGAUCCGUAGCUGGUCUGAGAGGAUGAUCAGCCACAUCGGGACUGAGACACGGCCCGAACUCCUACGGGAGGCAGCAGUGGGGAAUAUUGGACAAUGGGGGGAACCCUGAUCCAGCCAUGCCGCGUGUGUGAAGAAGGCCCUCGGGUUGUAAAGCACUUUCAGCGAGGAAGAACGCCUAGCGGUUAAUACCCGCUAGGAAAGACAUCACUCGCAGAAGAAGCACCGGCUAACUCCGUGCCAGCAGCCGCGGUAAUACGGAGGGUGCAAGCGUUAAUCGGAAUUACUGGGCGUAAAGCGCGCGUAGGUGGCUUGAUAAGCCGGUUGUGAAAGCCCCGGGCUCAACCUGGGAACGGCAUCCGGAACUGUCAAGCUAGAGUGCAGGAGAGGAAGGUAGAAUUCCCGGUGUAGCGGUGAAAUGCGUAGAGAUCGGGAGGAAUACCAGUGGCGAAGGCGGCCUUCUGGACUGACACUGACACUGAGGUGCGAAAGCGUGGGUAGCAAACAGGAUUAGAUACCCUGGUAGUCCACGCCGUAAACGAUGUCGACCAGCCGUUGGGUGCCUAGCGCACUUUGUGGCGAAGUUAACGCGAUAAGUCGACCGCCUGGGGAGUACGGCCGCAAGGUUAAAACUCAAAUGAAUUGACGGGGGCCCGCACAAGCGGUGGAGCAUGUGGUUUAAUUCGAUGCAACGCGAAGACCCUUACCUACUCUUGACAUCCUGCGAAUUCGGUAGAGAUACCUUAGUGCCUUCGGGACGCAGAGACAGGUGCUGCAUGCUGUCGUCAGCUCGUGUGUGAAAUGUGGGUUAGUCCC